This 792-nucleotide ribosomal RNA is filed under the name Methanosaeta sp. enrichment culture clone L35A3_12. Its description in RNAcentral is "bacterial SSU rRNA". It matches the Rfam family "Archaeal small subunit ribosomal RNA", at positions 85 to 879 of the family's 1478-position model. The record is from RNAcentral. Lineage: Archaea; Methanobacteriati; Methanobacteriota; Methanomicrobia; Methanotrichales; Methanotrichaceae.
ACGGCUCAGUAACACGUGGACAACCUGCCCUUGGGUUGGGUAUAAACCCGGGAAACUGGGUAUAAUACCCGAUAGGUCUCGAUUGCUGGAAUGCAUCGGGAUUUAAAGCUCCGGCGCCUAAGGAUGGGUCUGCGGCCUAUCAGGUAGUAGUGGGUGUAGCGUACCUACUAGCCUACGACGGGUACGGGUUGUGAGAGCAAGACCCGGAGAUGGAUUCUGAGACACGAAUCCAGGCCCUACGGGGUGCAGCAGGCGCGAAAACUUUACAAUGCUGGCAACAGCGAUAAGGGAACCUCGAGUGCCAGGUUACAAAUCUGGCUGUCGAGAUGCCUAAAAAGCAUUUCAUAGCAAGGGCCGGGCAAGACCGGUGCCAGCCGCCGCGGUAACACCGGCGGCUCGAGUGGUAACCGUUAUUAUUGGGUCUAAAGGGUCUGUAGCCGGCCGGAUAAGUCUCUUGAGAAAUCUGGCAGCUUAACUGUCAGGCUUUCAGGAGAUACUGUCUGGCUCGAGGCCGGGAGAGGUGAGAGGUACUUCAGGGGUAGGGGUGAAAUCUUGUAAUCCUUGAAGGACCACCAGUGGCGAAGGCGUCUCACCAGAACGGACCUGACGGCAAGGGACGAAAGCUAGGGGCACGAACCGGAUUAGAUACCCGGGUAGUCCUAGCCGUAAACGAUACUCGCUAGGUGUCGGCCACGGCGCGACCGUUGUCGGUGCCGUAGGGAAGCCGUGAAGCGAGCCACCUGGGAAGUACGGCCGCAAGGCUGAAACUUAAAGGAAUUGGCGGGGGAGCAC